AAUGGGGGAAACCCUGAUGCAGCCAUGCCGCGUGUGUGAAGAAGGCCUUCGGGUUGUAAAGCACUUUCAGUAGGGAGGAAAGGUUGUAAGUUAAUACCUUGCAGCUGUGACGUUACCUACAGAAGAAGGACCGGCUAACUCCGUGCCAGCAGCCGCGGUAAUACGGAGGGUCCAAGCGUUAAUCGGAAUUACUGGGCGUAAAGCGUGCGCAGGCGGUUUGUUAAGCGAGAUGUGAAAGCCCCGGGCUCAACCUGGGAAUUGCAUUUCGAACUGGCAAACUAGAGUCUUGUAGAGGGGGGUAGAAUUCCAGGUGUAGCGGUGAAAUGCGUAGAGAUCUGGAGGAAUACCGGUGGCGAAGGCGGCCCCCUGGACAAAGACUGACGCUCAGGCACGAAAGCGUGGGGAGCAAA
This 410-nucleotide ribosomal RNA is filed under the name uncultured bacterium. RNAcentral's name for it is "bacterial SSU rRNA". It matches the Rfam family "Bacterial small subunit ribosomal RNA", at positions 370 to 772 of the family's 1533-position model. The record is from RNAcentral.